RNAcentral lists this ribosomal RNA (427 nucleotides) under uncultured bacterium. RNAcentral's name for it is "partial 16S ribosomal RNA". It matches the Rfam family "Bacterial small subunit ribosomal RNA", at positions 355 to 774 of the family's 1533-position model. The record is from RNAcentral.
UGGGGAAUAUUGCACAAUGGGCGCAAGCCUGAUGCAGCCAUGCCGCGUGUAUGAAGAAGGCCUUCGGGUUGUAAAGUACUUUCAGCGGGGAGGAAGGUGUUGAGGUUAAUAACCUCAGCAAUUGACGUUACCCGCAGAAGAAGCACCGGCUAACUCCGUGCCAGCAGCCGCGGUCAUACGGAGGGUGCAAGCGUUAAUCGGAAUUACUGGGCGUAAAGCGCACGCAGGCGGUCUGUCAAGUCGGAUGUGAAAUCCCCGGGCUCAACCUGGGAACUGCAUUCGAAACUGGCAGGCUAGAGUCUUGUAGAGGGGGGUAGAAUUCCAGGUGUAGCGGUGAAAUGCGUAGAGAUCUGGAGGAAUACCGGUGGCGAAGGCGGCCCCCUGGACAAAGACUGACGCUCAGGUGCGAAAGCGUGGGGAGCAAACA